Long non-coding RNA from Papilio machaon (common yellow swallowtail), 384 nucleotides. RefSeq lists it as uncharacterized. The transcript is spliced from 3 exons. NCBI's taxonomy places the organism in Eukaryota, Metazoa, Arthropoda, Insecta, Lepidoptera, Papilionidae. The record is from RefSeq and is a predicted model, not a curated record.
CCUCAAAGGGUUAACACGUUUUUUAUUUGAAAAUUCAUUAGUCCACAGUCCACAGCAUUUCUUCAAUGGUGAGAAGUAUCACUAACGGAAUUCUUCAUUAGACAUUGAAAAAACAAGUCGAGGGAACAAUGGCGGUAAGUGGUUAUCGUCCACGUUGUUCGAGGCCGGCUGUGGCGAGCUGUUGCGAUUGAUGGACUUUGAGGGCGUUUGCCAUCUCGACCAAGUCAAACGCAUUUUAUUUGCAAUCAACUCGUGCUCCUAAUUAUUCACCAGCGUCAAUUUGGGGCGGCCACUGCUUCUCCAGUUUUGAAAUCUGACGAUAUUAGAGUACCAGAACGUGAGAAGAUAUUACCGUACCGGAAAAUAUCAGGUGACGUCGCUUCU